UACGUAGGGGGCGAGCGUUGUCCGGAAUCAUUGGGCGUAAAGGGCGCGUAGGCGGGUAUAUAAGUCUGAUGUGAAAGUGCGGAGCUUAACUCCGUAAAGCAUUGGAAACUGUAUAUCUUGAGGACAGGAGAGGAAAGUGGAAUUCCACGUGUAGCGGUGAAAUGCGUAGAGAUGUGGAGGAACACCAGUGGCGAAGGCGACUUUCUGGACUGUAACUGACGCUGAUGCGCGAAAGCGUGGGGAGC
This 245-nucleotide ribosomal RNA is filed under the name uncultured bacterium. RNAcentral's name for it is "partial 16S ribosomal RNA". It matches the Rfam family "Bacterial small subunit ribosomal RNA", at positions 524 to 769 of the family's 1533-position model. The record is from RNAcentral.